RNAcentral lists this ribosomal RNA (466 nucleotides) under uncultured bacterium. Its description in RNAcentral is "partial 16S ribosomal RNA". It matches the Rfam family "Bacterial small subunit ribosomal RNA", at positions 28 to 523 of the family's 1533-position model. The record is from RNAcentral.
GAUGAACGCUGGCGGCGUGCCUAACACAUGCAAGUCGAGCGAACCCUUCGGGGUGAGCGGCGGACGGGUGAGUAACGCGUGGGUAACCUGCCCUAUACACACGGAUAACGUACCGAAAGGUACGCUAAUACGGGAUAAAGUUGUUGGAUGGCAUCUUCUAACAAUCAAAGCUCCGGCGGUAUAGGAUGGACCCGCGUCUGAUUAGCUAGUUGGUGAGGUAAUGGCUCACCAAGGCGACGUUCAGUAGCCGACCUGAGAGGGUGAUCGGCCACACUGGAACUGAGACACGGUCCAGACUCCUACGGGAGGCAGCAGUGGGGAAUAUUGCACAAUGGGCGAAAGCCUGAUGCAGCAACGCCGCGUGAGCGAUGAGGGUCUUCGGAUCGUAAAGCUCUGUCCUCAAGGAAGAUAAUGACGGUACUUGAGGAGGAAGCCCCGGCUAACUACGUGCCAGCCGCCGCGGUAA